Siniperca chuatsi (mandarin fish) is the source of this 498-nucleotide non-coding RNA. The record is from the annotation of a RefSeq genome assembly. Lineage: Eukaryota; Metazoa; Chordata; Actinopteri; Centrarchiformes; Sinipercidae.
AGCUACAGUUCACUGACUCUGUGUGUUUGCAUAUCUGUCCUGCCUCUCUGCUCCCAGCCGUUAAGAGGCCAGUGUUGAUCAGUGGCUGUCCAGGCCUUUCAGAGCCACUGACACGCCGGCAGCACAAUGAUGAUGUCACUGAUUCCACUGCUGGCCACCCUGGGGCUCCUUGUUCAGGGUUCAUCAGGACAAAUCGUCCUGACUCAGUCUCCUGGAUCUCAGUCUGUUGUUCCAGGACAGACUGUCUCUCUCAGAUGUAAAACCAGUACGAGUGUUAGUAGCUCCCUCCACUGGUACCUUCAGAAACCUGGAGAAGCUCCUAAACUCCUGAUUUAUUAUGCUACAACCCUUCACUCUGGAGUUCCAGGUCGUUUUAGUGGAAGUGGAUCUGGGACUGACUUCACUCUGACCAUCAGUGGAGUUCAGGCUGAAGAUUCAGGAGUUUACUACUGUCAGCAGGGUUACAGCCCGUUCACACAGUGAUACAACGUCGUACAA